This 213-nucleotide ribosomal RNA is filed under the name Clostridioides difficile. Its description in RNAcentral is "partial 23S ribosomal RNA". It matches the Rfam family "Bacterial large subunit ribosomal RNA", at positions 210 to 425 of the family's 2925-position model. Lineage: Bacteria; Bacillati; Bacillota; Clostridia; Peptostreptococcales; Peptostreptococcaceae. The record is from RNAcentral.
CUGAAGGAAGAGAAAGAAAUUCGAUUCCGUAAGUAGCGGCGAGCGAACGCGGAUUAGCCCAAACCAAUAAAGUUUUCUUUAUUGGGGUUGCGGACAUAUCAUAACGGAGAGGUAUCGUAAUUGAAGAGGUUUGGAAAGACCCACCACAGAAGGUAAUAGUCCUGUAUGUUAAACGAGAAGACUUUAGAUAUGAUCCAGAGUACCACGGGACAC